AACGAACGCUGGCGGCAUGCCUAACACAUGCAAGUCGAACGAGACCUUCGGGUCUAGUGGCGCACGGGUGCGUAACGCGUGGGAACCUGCCCUUAGGUUCGGAAUAACUCAGAGAAAUUUGAGCUAAUACCGGAUAAUGUCUUCGGACCAAAGAUUUAUCGCCUUUGGAUGGGCCCGCGUAGGAUUAGCUUGUUGGUGGGGUAAUGGCCUACCAAGGCGACGAUCCUUAGCUGGUCUGAGAGGAUGAUCAGCCACACUGGGACUGAGACACGGCCCAGACUCCUACGGGAGGCAGCAGUGGGGAAUAUUGGACAAUGGGCGAAAGCCUGAUCCAGCAAUGCCGCGUGAGUGAUGAAGGCCUUAGGGUUGUAAAGCUUUUUUACCAGGGAUGAUAAUGACAGUACCUGGAGAAUAAGCUCCGGCUAACUCCGUG
RNAcentral lists this ribosomal RNA (433 nucleotides) under uncultured bacterium. RNAcentral describes it as "partial 16S ribosomal RNA". It matches the Rfam family "Bacterial small subunit ribosomal RNA", at positions 29 to 507 of the family's 1533-position model. The record is from RNAcentral.